This 80-nucleotide transfer RNA is filed under the name Caudoviricetes sp. RNAcentral describes it as "tRNA-Leu". It matches the Rfam family "tRNA". Rfam says of the family: Transfer RNA (tRNA) molecules are approximately 80 nucleotides in length. Their secondary structure includes four short double-helical elements and three loops (D, anti-codon, and T loops). The record is from RNAcentral. Lineage: Duplodnaviria; Heunggongvirae; Uroviricota; Caudoviricetes.
GCGUCUAUGGUGGAAUUGGCAUACACAACGGAUUUAAGCUCCGUCGCUUCGGCUUGGGGGUUCGACUCCCUCUAGGCGCA